RNAcentral lists this ribosomal RNA (3066 nucleotides) under Salmonella enterica subsp. enterica serovar Enteritidis. RNAcentral's name for it is "bacterial LSU rRNA". It matches the Rfam family "Bacterial large subunit ribosomal RNA". The record is from RNAcentral. Lineage: Bacteria; Pseudomonadati; Pseudomonadota; Gammaproteobacteria; Enterobacterales; Enterobacteriaceae.
GGGUUGUGAGGUUAAGCGACUAAGCGUACACGGUGGAUGCCCUGGCAGUCAGAGGCGAUGAAGGGCGUGCUAAUCUGCGAUAAGCGCCGGUAAGGUGAUAUGAACCGUUAUAACCGGCGAUACCCGAAUGGGGAAACCCAGUGUGACUCGUCACACUAUCAUUAACUGAAUCCAUAGGUUAAUGAGGCGAACCGGGGGAACUGAAACAUCUAAGUACCCCGAGGAAAAGAAAUCAACCGAGAUUCCCCCAGUAGCGGCGAGCGAACGGGGAGGAGCCCAGAGCCUGAAUCAGCAUGUGUGUUAGUGGAAGCGUCUGGAAAGGCGCGCGAUACAGGGUGACAGCCCCGUACACAAAAGCGCAUGUGCUGUGAGCUCGAUGAGUAGGGCGGGACACGUGGUAUCCUGUCUGAAUAUGGGGGGACCAUCCUCCAAGGCUAAAUACUCCUGACUGACCGAUAGUGAACCAGUACCGUGAGGGAAAGGCGAAAAGAACCCGGCGAGGGGAGUGAAAAAGAAACCUGAAACCGUGUACGUACAAGCAGUGGGAGCCCCACCACCAAAGCAUUUGCUGUACCGCGUUGACGGAGCGAAGCGACGUCAAACCGAUAAAACAGCAGUGUAAAGUGAGCCGCAGGGCGCUUUGCGCGACAGCGCAAAGGCAGGCGGUUUCGCGUAGCGAAAGCGAAUGCUUUGGGGUGGGGUGACUGCGUACCUUUUGUAUAAUGGGUCAAGCGACUUAUAUUCUGUAGCAAGGUUAACCGAAUAGGGGAGCCGGAGGGAAACCGUAGUCUUAAUUGGGCGUUAAGUUGCAGGGUAUAGACCCGAAACCCGGUGAUCUAGCCAUGGGCAGGUUGAAGGUUGGGUAACACUAACUGGAGGACCGAACCGACUAAUGUUGAAAAAUUAGCGGAUGACCUGUGGCUGGGGGUGAAAGGCCAAUCAAACCGGGAGAUAGCUGGUUCUCCCCGAAAGCUAUUUAGGUAGCGCCUCGUGAAUUCAUCUCCGGGGGUAGAGCACUGUUUCGGCUAGGGGGCCAUCCCGGCUUACCAACCCGAUGCAAACUGCGAAUACCGGAGAAUGUUAUCACGGGAGACACACGGCGGGUGCUAACGUCCGUCGUGAAGAGGGAAACAACCCAGACCGCCAGCUAAGGUCCCAAAGUCAUGGUUAAGUGGGAAACGAUGUGGGAAGGCCCAGACAGCCAGGAUGUUGGCUUAGAAGCAGCCAUCAUUUAAAGAAAGCGUAAUAGCUCACUGGUCGAGUCGGCCUGCGCGGAAGAUGUAACGGGGCUAAACCAUGCACCGAAGCUGCGGCAGCGACACUGUGUGUUGUUGGGUAGGGGAGCGUUCUGUAAGCCUGUGAAGGUGUGUCGUGAGGCAUGCUGGAGGUAUCAGAAGUGCGAAUGCUGACAUAAGUAACGAUAAAGCGGGUGAAAAGCCCGCUCGCCGGAAGACCAAGGGUUCCUGUCCAACGUUAAUCGGGGCAGGGUGAGUCGACCCCUAAGGCGAGGCCGAAAGGCGUAGUCGAUGGGAAACGGGUUAAUAUUCCCGUACUUGGUGUUACUGCGAAGGGGGACGGAGAAGGCUAUGUUGGCCGGGCGACGGUUGUCCCGGUUUAAGCGUGUAGGUGUGUGUUCCAGGUAAAUCCGGUUCACUUUAACACUGAGGCGUGACGACGAGGCACUACGGUGCUGAAGCAACAAAUGCCCUGCUUCCAGGAAAAGCCUCUAAGCAUCAGGUAACAUCAAAUCGUACCCCAAACCGACACAGGUGGUCAGGUAGAGAAUACCAAGGCGCUUGAGAGAACUCGGGUGAAGGAACUAGGCAAAAUGGUGCCGUAACUUCGGGAGAAGGCACGCUGACACGUAGGUGAAGUGAUUUACUCAUGGAGCUGAAGUCAGUCGAAGAUACCAGCUGGCUGCAACUGUUUAUUAAAAACACAGCACUGUGCAAACACGAAAGUGGACGUAUACGGUGUGACGCCUGCCCGGUGCCGGAAGGUUAAUUGAUGGGGUCAGCGCAAGCGAAGCUCCUGAUCGAAGCCCCGGUAAACGGCGGCCGUAACUAUAACGGUCCUAAGGUAGCGAAAUUCCUUGUCGGGUAAGUUCCGACCUGCACGAAUGGCGUAAUGAUGGCCAGGCUGUCUCCACCCGAGACUCAGUGAAAUUGAACUCGCUGUGAAGAUGCAGUGUACCCGCGGCAAGACGGAAAGACCCCGUGAACCUUUACUAUAGCUUGACACUGAACAUUGAGCCUUGAUGUGUAGGAUAGGUGGGAGGCUUUGAAGUGUGGACGCCAGUCUGCAUGGAGCCGACCUUGAAAUACCACCCUUUAAUGUUUGAUGUUCUAACGUGGACCCGUUACCCGGGUUGCGGACAGUGUCUGGUGGGUAGUUUGACUGGGGCGGUCUCCUCCUAAAGAGUAACGGAGGAGCACGAAGGUUGGCUAAUCCUGGUCGGACAUCAGGAGGUUAGUGCAAUGGCAUAAGCCAGCUUGACUGCGAGCGUGACGGCGCGAGCAGGUGCGAAAGCAGGUCAUAGUGAUCCGGUGGUUCUGAAUGGAAGGGCCAUCGCUCAACGGAUAAAAGGUACUCCGGGGAUAACAGGCUGAUACCGCCCAAGAGUUCAUAUCGACGGCGGUGUUUGGCACCUCGAUGUCGGCUCAUCACAUCCUGGGGCUGAAGUAGGUCCCAAGGGUAUGGCUGUUCGCCAUUUAAAGUGGUACGCGAGCUGGGUUUAGAACGUCGUGAGACAGUUCGGUCCCUAUCUGCCGUGGGCGCUGGAGAACUGAGGGGGGCUGCUCCUAGUACGAGAGGACCGGAGUGGACGCAUCACUGGUGUUCGGGUUGUCAUGCCAAUGGCACUGCCCGGUAGCUAAAUGCGGAAGAGAUAAGUGCUGAAAGCAUCUAAGCACGAAACUUGCCCCGAGAUGAGUUCUCCCUGAGACUUAGAGUCUCCUGAAGGAACGUUGAAGACGACGACGUUGAUAGGCCGGGUGUGUAAGCGCAGCGAUGCGUUGAGCUAACCGGUACUAAUGAACCGUGAGGCUUAACCUUACAACGCCGAAG